Molecule: ribosomal RNA, 492 nt
Filed under: uncultured bacterium
Lineage: Bacteria
Description: partial 16S ribosomal RNA
Rfam family: Bacterial small subunit ribosomal RNA
Source: RNAcentral
AGUGAACGCUGGCGGUAGGCCUAACACAUGCAAGUCGAACGGCAGCACAGUAAGAGCUUGCUCUUACGGGUGGCGAGUGGCGGACGGGUGAGGAAUACAUCGGAAUCUACUUUUUCGUGGGGGAUAACGUAGGGAAACUUACGCUAAUACCGCAUACUACCUACGGGUGAAAGCAGGGGAUCUUCGGACCUUGCGCGAUUGAAUGAGCCGAUGUCGGAUUAGCUAGUUGGCGGGGUAAAGGCCCACCAAGGCGACGAUCCGUAGCUGGUCUGAGAGGAUGAUCAGCCACACUGGAACUGAGACACGGUCCAGACUCCUACGGGAGGCAGCAGUGGGGAAUAUUGGACAAUGGGCGCAAGCCUGAUCCAGCCAUACCGCGUGGGUGAAGAAGGCCUUCGGGUUGUAAAGCCCUUUUGUUGGGAAGGAAAAGCAGCAGGUUAAUACCCCGCUGUUCUGACGGUACCCAAAGAAUAAGCACCGGCUAACUUCGUG